UUUUUUUAAUCUUGAAAGAGGAAUUCCUAGUAAUCGCGGUUCAUCCAACCCCAAUGAUUACGUCCCUGCCCUCAGUACACACCGCCCGUCGCACCUACAGAUUAAAUGGUCCGCGAAGACUCGGGAUGUGUGGUUUGGCUCCUCCACAGGGGCCGACCCCGAGAACUGUCCUCUGUAAAACUACGGCCAGUCCGCGGUAAUCCAGCUCCA
This 210-nucleotide ribosomal RNA is filed under the name uncultured Thalassiosira. RNAcentral describes it as "partial 18S ribosomal RNA". It matches the Rfam family "Eukaryotic small subunit ribosomal RNA", at positions 1588 to 1762 of the family's 1831-position model. Lineage: Eukaryota; Bacillariophyta; Thalassiosirophyceae; Thalassiosirales; Thalassiosiraceae. The record is from RNAcentral.